UCGGUCCCCCUCGUCCACACGAAUCUCGACGAGGGCGGUGAUUUUGUCCCAAAACGUUUCAAAGGGUUACGGUACUGUACACGCGAUAGGAGGAGGGGAAUCAUGUAUAUAGUGUAUUAAAAACAACCCCCUCCCCUAACCUGGCGGUGCACGUGUAGGGGUUUAUCGGCCGCCGCUGCCGCCGGAUAUUAUUAUUUUCAUUUCGAAUUAAUGACUGGAAAUAACGUCGGGCGUACUACCUAUACGCUUUACGGUUGGUGUGCUAUGCGUGGGAUUAGAAUAUAUUAAGGGGGCUCGAUGAGAGGACCCGAACUCGAUGAGACCUAUACCGUCGAUAUUAUUGUUGCUAUAAAAUUUACUGUAAAACUGUAUGCGCGGCGGAUAUGUUAUUUUGUUUCGGUAAACAACACAAUAGUACUCGACGUAGAACACCAGACAUGCGUUUACCAUUAACGAUAACAUUGCAGUGCUGGUGCAUAGUAAAAUCGCUAAAUAAUCCUGGGUGUUAAUGUGAGAGGAUUCCCCUCGGGGCCACAUUUCGGAUCUACUCGAAUUUAUACUCGACAAUAUGAGCAAAAUACUCGUAGAUGUCACUCUUAUUAUAUAGAUUUCAUAAUUUUUU
Cinara cedri is the source of this 622-nucleotide non-coding RNA. The record is from the annotation of a GenBank genome assembly. Lineage: Eukaryota; Metazoa; Arthropoda; Insecta; Hemiptera; Aphididae.